This is an unclassified non-coding RNA of Callithrix jacchus (white-tufted-ear marmoset), 303 nucleotides long. It matches the Rfam family "Metazoan signal recognition particle RNA". Rfam says of the family: The signal recognition particle (SRP) is a universally conserved ribonucleoprotein. It is involved in the co-translational targeting of proteins to membranes. The record is from Ensembl. Lineage: Eukaryota; Metazoa; Chordata; Mammalia; Primates; Cebidae.
AGGCAUGAUGGCACGUGCUUGUAGUCCCAGCUACUAGCGGGGUGGGAAGAUGGGAGAUGGGAGGAUGGCUUGAGGCCAGGACUUCUGGGCAGUAGUGCACUGUGCCAAUCGGAUGUCCACACUAAGUUCAGCAUCGAUGUGACCUCCUGGGAGUGGGGGACCACCAGGUUGCCUGAGGAUGGGUGAACCCACCCAGACGGGAAAUGAAGCAGGUCAAAACUCUCAUGCUAAUCAGUAGUGGGAUCAUGCCUGUGAAUAGCCACUGCACUCCAGCCUGGACAACAUAGCGAGAUCCCAUCUCUA